This 305-nucleotide ribosomal RNA is filed under the name uncultured bacterium. RNAcentral's name for it is "partial 16S ribosomal RNA". It matches the Rfam family "Bacterial small subunit ribosomal RNA", at positions 508 to 807 of the family's 1533-position model. The record is from RNAcentral.
ACAGCAGCCGCCGCGGGAAUACGUAGGGUGCGAGCGUUAAUCGGAAUUACUGGGCGUAAAGCGUGCGCAGGCGGUUAUAUAAGACAGAUGUGGAAUCCCCGGGCUCAACCUGGGACCUGUAUUUGUGUCUGUAUAGCUAGAGUACGGUAGAGGGGGAUGGAAUUCCGCGUGUAGCAGUGAAAUGCGUAGAUAUGCGGAGGAACACCGAUGGCGAAGGCAAUCCCCUGGACCUGUACUGACGCUCAUGCACGAAAGCGUGGGGAGCAAACAGGAUUAGAUACCCGCGUAGUCCCUGUCUCUUAUAC